This 305-nucleotide ribosomal RNA is filed under the name uncultured bacterium. Its description in RNAcentral is "bacterial SSU rRNA". It matches the Rfam family "Bacterial small subunit ribosomal RNA", at positions 333 to 637 of the family's 1533-position model. The record is from RNAcentral.
GUACCCUACGGGAGGCAGCAGUGAGGAAUAUUGGUCAAUGGGCGCGAGCCUGAACCAGCCAAGUCGCGUGAGGGAAGACGGUCCUAUGGGUUGUAAACCUCUUUUGUCGGGGAGCAAAGCGAGUCACGUGUGACUCAUUGAGAGUACCCGAAGAAAAAGCAUCGGCUAACUCCGUGCCAGCAGCUGCGGUAAUACGGAGGAUGCGAGCGUUAUCCGGAUUUAUUGGGUUUAAAGGGUGCGCAGGCGGAGGUGCAAGUCAGCGGUCAAAUUGCGGGGCUCAACCCCGUACUGCCGUUGAAACUGCA